UCCUAUAGCGGAAGAAGAAACCCCUCGCUGUCAUCCUCAUCCUCAUCAUCCUCCUCCAUCCUCCACUGCUAAGAUGCUGCAUCUCCUCACACAAGCUGCAGUAAUGUGCUUUAAUGCGCUGGUUAUCGCUCAGCCCGACGACUACAGGGUGGCCGAGAGAGCUUAUGUGGUCCUGCAGAAGCAGAAUUUAGUCACACUGGGGAGUGUCCUGGCGGUGGUGCUGGUGCUGAUGAUCAUUAUGGCUGUCUGCGUCUACAAACCGCUGUCUCGUCGCUGAAACCUGGAGGACAUAUGAACCGAGAGACAAUCCUGUUCUGUCUGCAAAGUUACACCUGCUCUGUUGCCAUAACCGUGUGCAGAUGGGCCCGGACUGAGGGAAAAGCAGCUGCCAAAAAGCCCAGUGUGCGCAGUUAGUUUAUAAACACAGAUCAGGCGUAACUUUAUGAGCACUGACGGUGAAUAACAGUGAUUAUGUCUUCAUCAUGGCACCUGUUGGUGGGUGUGGGAUAUAUUAGAGUGCAAGUCAUCAUUAUGUCCUCAAAUUUGGUGUGUUAGAAGCAGGAAAAAUGUGCAAGCAUAGGUGUUUGAUUGAGUUUGAGGGCCACUUUGUGAUAGCCAACUCUACUAAACAUCUCCAGUACUGCGGGUCUCUUGGGCUGUUCCCGGUAUGCGGUGGUCAGUUUCUAUCAAAAGUGGUCCAAGCAUGGAGGUUCACUGAUGUAUGUUAAGAGUAACGGUUGGCCAGUUUGGCCCAAUCCAACAUUUUCAGCAAUUUGAGCUACUGUAGCUCAAAUUGCACCUUCAGCGGGCUAGUGGAGUCCAUGCCUCGAUGGUUCAAGGCUGUUUUGGUAGGAAAAGAAGGACUAACGCAGUAUACAGGUGGCCAUAAUGCUAUGCCUGAUCAGUGUAUCUUUAGUGUCUUUAAUUUAUCUUGAUCUCAGGUCAGUUAUUAAUAUAAUUUAAAGUGUACACAGAUACACCUACAGUGGAGCUCAAACAUCUGAGACUGGGCCUCAUGUUUCCAGCAGAAAACUGCUUUACCACUAUCACCUGUUUCAUCUUCAGGUGACAGUGGCAAAAGAAACUCAAUCACAUUUUAUGACUAGACAAAGAUCGCAGAUUAAAACUUUCCAGAAAUUGCUCUAUCUAAACCUCACUGUUCACUGUCACUUAAAAGCAGUUCCAUCACAGAUAAAGAAAUUUCUAAAUAAUAAUUUCUAGAUAACAGUGCAUCAAACCCAAAGUGCUCUGGAGAUGGAUACUUGUACUGAGCUGACUCCACCCUGACCAAGGAGAACCACUGGUUUCAUCAGAGACAUCCUUCACCCUUCUGAUUUUGAAGAAUAUUAUUACUGCUAAGGAGCCAACACACCAGGCUUUGCAGGAACUACUUGAAGACAGGGAUAUACAUCACAAGAAACUCCUUGAAUCAUUUGCUGUUAGCUGUUAUUAAUUUCAAAUAGGGGGUAGAUAUUCUGAAAUUCAGGUACAUUGUUAAGGCUUUUCGGCUCCACUGCGUAUUAGUUUAUGCAAAAUUGCGUUUGUAAAUGCUCACCUAAUGACACAAGUAGUAAUCUGGGCCUGUAUUCUAUAAAACGUGAGCACCACGUGUUAUUUAUUUGGGUUUCAAAGCUGGAAAUUUUGUGAUUGGAUGUAUUUUUUGUUUGAUGAAAAGCAAAAGUUCUGCAAGCAUUAAACUUUGAGAUUAGAAAGUGAGA
Oreochromis niloticus (Nile tilapia) is the source of this 1718-nucleotide long non-coding RNA. RefSeq lists it as uncharacterized. The record is from RefSeq and is a predicted model, not a curated record. The transcript has 2 exons. Lineage: Eukaryota; Metazoa; Chordata; Actinopteri; Cichliformes; Cichlidae.